GACUGGAGGGGUAACAAGAUGGCGGCGGAGACGGUGGAGCUCCAUAAACUGAAGCUUGCUGAACUAAAGCAGGAAUGUCUUGCUCGUGGCUUGGAGACCAAGGGAAUAAAACAAGAUCUCAUCAACCGGCUCCGGGCGUAUCUUGAAGAGCAUGCUGAAGAGGAGGCAAAUGAAGAAGAUGUACUGGGAGAUGAAACAGAGGAAGAAGAACCAAAGCCCAUAGAACUGCCUGUCAAAGAGGAAGAACCCCCUGAGAAAACUGUUGAUGUGGCAGCAGAGAAGAAAGUGGUAAAAAUUAUAUGUGAGAUACCACAGACUGAGAGAAUGCAGAAGAGAGCUGAACGAUUCAAUGUACCUGUGAGCUUGGAGAGUAAGAAAGCUGCCCGGGCAGCAAGAUUUGGGAUUUCUUCAGUUCCAUCAAAAGGUCUGUCAUCUGAUGCCAAGCCUAUGGUUAACCUGGAUAAACUAAAGGAAAGAGCCCAAAGGUUUGGUUUGAAUGUCUCUUCAAUAUCCAGAAAGUCUGAAGAUGAUGAGAAACUGAAACAGAGGAAGGAGCGAUUUGGGAUUGUUACAAGUUCAGCUGGAACAGGAACCACAGAGGAUACAGAGGCAAAGAAGAGGAAAAGGGCAGAGUGCUUUGGGAUUGCCUGAUGAAAAGCUCUUAAUGCUUUCUGUUCUCCAGUGGUUUCCAACUCUCUGACUUUUCUUGGUCAUAUAUAUACCUAAAUGCACAGUCAUGUGCCUAGGUUCUGCCUCGCAGUGAGAGAGCAUGUACCCUGGGUACAUCCAGGAACUUCAGCAGCAGUUUGACUCAUUGCUGUUCCAACUUUAAG
Molecule: non-coding RNA, 833 nt
Organism: Leptonychotes weddellii (Weddell seal)
Lineage: Eukaryota; Metazoa; Chordata; Mammalia; Carnivora; Phocidae
Source: RefSeq, a predicted model, not a curated record